CUACGCCAUAUCAACCAUAUGUUUCUCCAUCACCAACUCCACCACCACACUAUUUGCAUGAUGGCAAAAAUGGGAGCACCUGCUGGUCUGCAAGCUCUUGACUGAAGGGGCUAUUUGAAGAGACACUGUGGGAUACUGACAGGAAUGCCAAGGGAGAGCAGCUGGAAAAUUAUCCUCUAAUUGAUUCUGGGGUGCCAAUUAUGACUCUGUGCUCGGCAAAGUUCUUGGCAGCGUCUCCUUCACUGACUUAAACACAAAGACUAAUUGGAUUUUAAUAAGUAAUCAUGCUUCAAGGAACAGGAAUUUUUAGCAGUGUUGUGUCAACUGAUUCACUAGAAAUACAUAGGAGGCUCUACACUUAUGACAAAAAAUUACAUCUCCCACAACUCUGUUUUAUUCAUCAUGCAAACAUAAUAAAUUACAAUUAAUAGUCGAGAACAAUUGACAGUAUUACGGCAUGUGUACUCCUUUUUUUCCAUUGCUCUAUCUUCAGAUAGGCCUAUGAUAAAAACAUUGUAAAUAAGCCUGGGCAAAAAUUUUCCAUCUAACCCGUUUUUCAAUAGAAAAUAGAGUUUUCAGCUAAACAUAUUAAAAAAAAAAAUACAUGAAGCCCAAAAUAUUUUAACCUGGAUACCUUGCUGCAGUGCCUCAUGGGAGUUUUAUUUUGGUGUCUUCAUGUCCCCAUUCUCCUCUAUGGGCCAAGUUCUCCUGCAGGACUACAACUUCUGUGAGACCCCACAAUCAGAGACUCCAACAAUGCAGACGCCUCCCUCUUACCAUGGAGGGAGACUGUGGUGCAUCAGGGGAGAUGUAAUGUGACCAGAAAGUCUGGCCUAUAGAGAAAAAUAGGAGCAUGAACUGCAACUCCCAUGAGGCUCCUUGGCAAGAUUUAUUAAACAAAAAUUUUUGGUUUUUAGGCAAAAAAAAAAUAUUGACUUUUGAUUUUUUGCCAAAG
Long non-coding RNA from Malaclemys terrapin pileata, 955 nucleotides. RefSeq lists it as uncharacterized. The transcript has 3 exons. NCBI's taxonomy places the organism in Eukaryota, Metazoa, Chordata, Testudines, Emydidae. The record is from RefSeq and is a predicted model, not a curated record.